Molecule: long non-coding RNA, 314 nt
Filed under: Nicotiana benthamiana
Lineage: Eukaryota; Viridiplantae; Streptophyta; Magnoliopsida; Solanales; Solanaceae
Description: long non-coding RNA (NBEN_LNC002050)
Source: RNAcentral
CUCGACUAAAUAAUCAAGAUCCUACAAGCCAAAGCAAAAAACAUCGUAAUGAAAGCUAGUUCUUGUCAACAAUUUUCACUAUCAAUUGCCGGAGACCACAUUGACUAGAAAGAAAUAUGUAAGAGGCCAUUUGAAAUAAUCAAACAGCAAAAGAAACUCUGUUACAAAUUAUAUCAUCUGAAGGAAGUUUCAAGGCAUAAAAUAGCUAGAGAAGAUAGGGAAAAGGGAGAAACUCCAAUAUGUAGCUUCAAUGUCUUUCAUGAAUGCUCUUUUGUUUUUGUCUUUCCUUUCCUUCACUGAGCCGGGGGUCGAUU